Non-coding RNA from Homo sapiens (human), 148 nucleotides. It matches the Rfam family "Metazoan signal recognition particle RNA". From Rfam's summary of the family: The signal recognition particle (SRP) is a universally conserved ribonucleoprotein. NCBI's taxonomy places the organism in Eukaryota, Metazoa, Chordata, Mammalia, Primates, Hominidae. The record is from Rfam.
GCCAGGCGUGGUGAUGCAUGCCUAUAGUCCCAGCUACUUGGGAGGCUGAGGUGGGAGGAUCAUUUGAGCCCAGGAGUUCGAGGCUGCAGUGAGCCAUGAUCGUGCCCCUGCACUCCAGCCUGGGCAACAGAAUGAGACUCCAUCUCCC